CAGGCCUAACACAUGCAAGUCGAGCGGGGAAAUGUAGCUUGCUACAUUACCUAGCGGCGGACGGGUGAGUAAUGCUUAGGAAUCUGCCUAUUAGUGGGGGACAACAUUCCGAAAGGAAUGCUAAUACCGCAUACGUCCUACGGGAGAAAGCAGGGGACCUUCGGGCCUUGCGCUAAUAGAUGAGCCUAAGUCGGAUUAGCUAGUUGGUGGGGUAAAGGCCUACCAAGGCGACGAUCUGUAGCGGGUCUGAGAGGAUGAUCCGCCACACUGGGACUGAGACACGGCCCAGACUCCUACGGGAGGCAGCAGUGGGGAAUAUUGGACAAUGGGGGGAACCCUGAUCCAGCCAUGCCGCGUGUGUGAAGAAGGCCUUUUGGUUGUAAAGCACUUUAAGCGAGGAGGAGGCUACUAGUAUUAAUACUACUGGAUAGUGGACGUUACUCGCAGAAUAAGCACCGGCUAACUCUGUGCCAGCAGCCGCGGUAAUACAGAGGGUGCGAGCGUUAAUCGGAUUUACUGGGCGUAAAGCGUGCGUAGGCGGCUGAUUAAGUCGGAUGUGAAAUCCCUGAGCUUAACUUAGGAAUUGCAUUCGAUACUGGUCAGCUAGAGUAUGGAAGAGGAUGGUAGAAUUCCAGGUGUAGCGGUGAAAUGCGUAGAGAUCUGGAGGAAUACCGAUGGCGAAGGCAGCCAUCUGGCCUAAUACUGACGCUGAGGUACGAAAGCAUGGGGAGCAAACAGGAUUAGAUACCCUGGUAGUCCAUGCCGUAAACGAUGUCUACUAGCCGUUGGGGCCUUUGAGGCUUUAGUGGCGCAGCUAACGCGAUAAGUAGACCGCCUGGGGAGUACGGUCGCAAGACUAAAACUCAAAUGAAUUGGCGGGGGCCCGCACAAGCGG
This 895-nucleotide ribosomal RNA is filed under the name Acinetobacter sp. RNAcentral describes it as "bacterial SSU rRNA". It matches the Rfam family "Bacterial small subunit ribosomal RNA", at positions 43 to 932 of the family's 1533-position model. The record is from RNAcentral. Lineage: Bacteria; Pseudomonadati; Pseudomonadota; Gammaproteobacteria; Moraxellales; Moraxellaceae.